Molecule: long non-coding RNA, 1292 nt
Organism: Limulus polyphemus (Atlantic horseshoe crab)
Lineage: Eukaryota; Metazoa; Arthropoda; Merostomata; Xiphosura; Limulidae
Exons: 4
Source: RefSeq, a predicted model, not a curated record
GUAUACGUUUAGAUAUGAGCUAGAGUUGGUGGAGGGUUGAAAUUAACUAAUGUUAGGCUAAAGUGCUUUGAAUUCUAAAGCAAAAGUUUUUGUAUUGCUUUUCUUGGAUCAAGUGGAUUAUUGUGAGGAAGCAUCAUGGAAUUGGUGUUAACUCAUGACAGUAAAGGAUGAAACAUUUCUUAACUUCUACUGAAGGUUUUGGCAGAACCAGUAGGGAGUAGCUGUUUACAAGGUUGCAAACUUAGGAGGUCAUUGUCUUGUUCUGAUGAAAAACUUGGGGGAAAAAGUGGGCUGUUGCCACAAAAUGGAUAGAGAGAGAUAGGAAGCAUGGAUACUUUCUCCACAUUCUGUUAUCUGUAGGAAGCACAUCAGUGAUGAUGAUUAUGUUCAAACUAAGAAAUUUUCGCCUUCACCAUAACAACACUUGACGGAUUAACUUUAACACUGAGAGUAUCUUCAGGAUUCAAGUGCACUGGAGAUCUCCACCAGCGAAAGAGAUCCUGAACAUCAUAGCCCUCACUGUAAUUUAGGCCAAUUCCACUCAUGGUCGUAUUGACUUCAACGGCACUACCCAUAUCUCGACGAUUGAAGAAAACAACAGCAUAUGAAUAGUAACUGUCUUUUGUUGGUGUAACAGGCCGAGUCCAGAUUUCAAUAUUCUGUUGCUAUAAUUAGAUAAGUGUAAUAUUUAUAAUAAUGAGCCUGAGAUACAAGUAAUACAUAAGUUUGAGAAAAUAACAAGGAUUUAAUAGCAGAAUAAAACAACAAAACGUCAUCUCGAACUAAAGUUACAGCACUUUCUGGCCAUUAUCACAAAUUAAGCUCCUUAAAAAUUCACCAACUUUUGAUGUUCGUUGUCAAAGGUGAAUUUUCAAUGUGAUUUAUGAAGUUUAACUUUUUUCAAUCAAGUGAAGAUAACAUAAUGAAAUAGAGUAGUGAAGGUUGAUAGACUGAUUCAAGCUUUUGUCUAUCUUGAUGUACUGGAUGGAGCUCUUGUUUAUUUAGUGUAAUGGAUGAGUUUUGUGUAUAGUUUUAUAAAGGAUGAAGCUGUAUCUAUCUAGUGUAAUGGAUGGAAUGUGUCCACCUGAGUCAUGGAUGGAUGUCAUGUCUUCUGGUGUAAUGCAUGAGAUUUGUGUACAGCUUUAUAGUGGAUGUAGCUUGAGGUUACUUGGAGUAAUAGAAUAAGCUGUGUUACUUGCCGGGUAGGAUCGAGUUUUUUGUCCACUUGGUGUAAUGGAUAGAGUUCUUGUGCAUUUGAUGUAUUGAAUAAAGUUCUUGUCUAAUUGGUGUAA